This 1436-nucleotide long non-coding RNA is filed under the name Sus scrofa (pig). RNAcentral describes it as "lncRNA (ENSSSCG00055003416.1)". Lineage: Eukaryota; Metazoa; Chordata; Mammalia; Artiodactyla; Suidae. The record is from RNAcentral.
AAAAAAAAAAAAAUAAGUCCAUUGUAGUUUCCACUGUGGUUCCUCUGUGGUCUGUUUCACAAGAAUGGAGGCUGGGACACCAUUGGUUCAGUCCUCAGUGAGCAUCUUCUGGGAACUUGCCAGCCCACGUGCACAAGAUCAAGGUGCCCUCACUUUCACCCGGAUGCAAGAGUGCACUGCAGGAGGGCCACACGGGGACCUAGCUGCACACUCUGAACUGGGUUCCUCUUGGACACCAGGCAUCCUUCUUAGAACUGAGACCUCAACAGUGAACGAGGUGGGAGUGAGAGCUCCAGCAGAAGAAGGCAGGAUACUCCGGUUGACUCAGUCUGCCCCCCACCUAUUCCCAGCCCUGAUGGCCUCAGCCUGCAGCCUGCACUGCCAAAGGCUGAGUAGGUCUCCUGACCCUUCCCCUUCCAGCGUGGUCUCUGCCUGAAGGGCCGCAGGCUGUGGGCAGCUCCCAGCCUCUUCUGUGCCCUUGUGUGGAUGUCACAGCCAGAGCCCUGCCCCUGGAGUCUCUGCCUGGCCCACUCAGCUCGUCUGUAAGAGGUGAGCAUGGAGGAUGUGCUCUCCAGCAUGUUGUCCUCAGCCCCUCACCUGCCUUCUCUACAUCGCACUCAGAUUAGGCCUUUUAUGUCUGAUGGCAUCCACUCUGAGUCCUCCAAGGCUGGACUUCCAUCUCCAUCAUCGUGAUGCACUCAGCACCUAAUGAGGAUACCAGCUUGACACAAGCAUGUGUGCGUGCAUGCCUGCACACACACACACACACACACACAGGAGUCAUCACACACAUGGGACAUUUCACACUUGUCAGUACGGGUCAUUGGAGAGAGGGAAUUUCUGAGGAAUGGUUGAACCACAGGAAAAGGCCAUUAAAAUUGAAAAGUCAUCCUGGGAGGUCUGCCCUGGGUGCUUGGAUGUGGAAUUCUUCUCUUCUGAAUUCAGAAAUUCUCAGGUCCCCCUUUUAAUCUCAGGCUGAAUUCUCCCGGUACAGACCCACCAGAAGGCAGAAUGCAGUUGCCAGUGACAACCUUGGACAUUGGUGAGUGGGCAGGGACCCCAAGAGGUUUGAACCUCCCAAUCUCUCUUGUCCUUUGUCUCCAGGGCAUGUCCAGGCUGCUGUGGUCACCUGUACCAUUUUUCAAGGGGUUGCAAAAGCUGAACUCAACACAGGGCCUUAGUCAGUUUUUUAAAAUUAAAGUAUAAUUGAUUUACAAUGUUUCUUCAAUAUCUGUUGAAUAGCAAAAUAACUUAGUCACACUCUGCACUGUACAGGAGGGUCCUAUUGCCCAUCCAUUCCAAAUAUAAGAGUUUGCAUUAGUCAAUUUGGGUGUAACCUACUGAAAUCAACAUGACCUUGGCCUUUUUUCAUGGAUGUAGGUAAGGCACAUUAAAUUUUUUACUUUGCAAAUGAAAACGGGAAUAGAUUAACAGAA